RNAcentral lists this transfer RNA (90 nucleotides) under Ruminococcus sp. Its description in RNAcentral is "tRNA-Ser". It matches the Rfam family "tRNA". From Rfam's summary of the family: Transfer RNA (tRNA) molecules are approximately 80 nucleotides in length. Their secondary structure includes four short double-helical elements and three loops (D, anti-codon, and T loops). The record is from RNAcentral. Lineage: Bacteria; Bacillati; Bacillota; Clostridia; Eubacteriales; Oscillospiraceae.
GGAGAGUUGUCCGAGUGGUCGAAGGUGCAGCACUCGAAAUGCUGUGUGGGGUAAAACUCACCCAGGGUUCGAAUCCCUGACUCUCCGCCA